GGUCGUGGUUCAGUGGUAGAGCACUUGCCUAGCAUGUGUGAGGCACUGGGUUCGAAUCUCAGCACCA
RNAcentral lists this transfer RNA (67 nucleotides) under Marmota monax (woodchuck). Its description in RNAcentral is "tRNA.Ala". Lineage: Eukaryota; Metazoa; Chordata; Mammalia; Rodentia; Sciuridae. The record is from RNAcentral.